This 253-nucleotide ribosomal RNA is filed under the name uncultured bacterium. RNAcentral describes it as "partial 16S ribosomal RNA". It matches the Rfam family "Bacterial small subunit ribosomal RNA", at positions 524 to 776 of the family's 1533-position model. The record is from RNAcentral.
UACGUAGGGUGCGAGCGUUGUCCGGAAUUAUUGGGCGUAAAGAGCUCGUAGGCGGUUUGUCGCGUCGACUGUGAAAACCUGGGGCUCAACUCUGGGCCUGCAGUCGAUACGGGCAGACUUGAGUUCGGUAGGGGAGACUGGAAUUCCUGGUGUAGCGGUGAAAUGCGCAGAUAUCAGGAGGAACACCGGUGGCGAAGGCGGGUCUCUGGGCCGAUACUGACGCUGAGGAGCGAAAGCGUGGGGAGCGAACAGG